RNAcentral lists this long non-coding RNA (1664 nucleotides) under Musa acuminata (dwarf banana). RNAcentral's name for it is "long non-coding RNA (MACU_LNC003714)". The record is from RNAcentral. Lineage: Eukaryota; Viridiplantae; Streptophyta; Magnoliopsida; Zingiberales; Musaceae.
GAAAAUUUUAUCCAACAAGUACAUAGAAAUCCUAGCAAAAGUCUAUAUACAAAUAGUAAAAAUAAAAAUAAAAAUUCUUCACUAUAAUUUUGGAUUGGAUGGCACAUAUAAUUUUAUUGCCACAAAUAUUGAUCACUUGAAGACUUUAUGGGUUGAUGUGGCUCAUCUCCAUCAUGUUAUAUCAUCCAUCGCAGAUGGCCACCACCACCAACAUUGAAAAGAAGAUGAGAGGAGAGGAGGAGGAAGAGGAAUUGUUAUCUGUUGGUGGCAGAUAUCGACGUUGCCAUCCCCAACUUGCUUGAAUUAUUGAUUCCCAGACAGACGUCCAUUCCCACAUGCAUUUCUUCACUGGACCAAAAAAAAAAAAGGAAAGGAGGAAGAUGACAACAAGCAGCAACAAAAAAUGAGAAAGAAAACACCAAAAAAAAAAAAAAAACUUUUAAGUUUAUCUAAAGAAAUAAAAACACAAAAAGAAAUGAACUCUUUAUGCUUUUAUAUGUUACAUAUUUUCAUUACGUACAUACAUACAUACAUACAUACAUACAUAGUAAUCAGUGAUAAUUAUAACAUCAUAAUGAAUCGGAACGAUCAAUUCCAAGCACAACAACUCAUUUUUCUUAUUUAGUUUCAAAUACUUUGAUCAUUUACAAAUGUUAAUAUUAUUGUCAUCGUGAUUCCAAGUACGAAAAAGACCAUAAGAAGAGGCCAAGGAUUCGUCUAACUUAGCAUCCAAACAACAAUCGACGAUGGAUGGAUGAUACAAGGACACAUCUUGGAACUAACUAUUGAUUUCAUGUUUCUAAUAUUGAAAUUGUUGUAGCUGCUGCUGAUGAUGAUGUAUCUAUCUAUCACGAGUACUAUGGAUUUACUAUCGAAAAGAAAAAUAUCAUAUAACAUAUGAUGUUCAAAAGAAAAAGGAAACGAUUGUCCAUUCGAUCGUGCUUUGUGACGUCGAAUGUGGUGUGAGAUCUGAAUCAUUUUAUAUAUGUACAAUAUAUAUACGUGAAUGAUUUGUCCCUUCCCUCAAACCAUUGUUUAUUCUCAUGUCUGUUCCCAUCCAAAUAUACUAACAUCGGUUUGUGGUCAUCUCCCACCUAAACCAAUAUCCUACACGCCCUAAAAGUCAGUCACACCCGUUCAGUAUCCGACAACAUCAGAUACGUUUGCAAUUUGGAGCCUUAAAUUAUGCAUCGCCAUAAUUAUUUAUCGCUACGUAUUUCCAUCUUUUACAAUUAAUUACCAGCUGAAUCCUUUGUCGAGUAGAUUAAACACGUUAACCAAUUUGGAGACUUUAAAUUACGAAUAGCCAAACAAUUAUUUUGAUGAGGUCUCUAUUUUUUGGAAAUUACCGUUGAAGAUUUUGGUUAUAAUGGCAAAUAAAUAAAUAAUGACCGCCAUAUUUGGAAUAUUCACAGAAAAUUAGAUGACGUCCUUCUUGACGUCGCCGUUAGCUGUGUGUGAUCCAUAUAAAGUCCCAUGAAAGCCGCCGUUAUCUCUAUAUAAAGUCCCCCACCCCAUCCCCCUAAAACUCUUUAAUAAAGACGAGCGAAGCAACCAUAGGAUACGAUACGUACCACGACAUGAUGAUGAUAGCUUAUCUCGAGCGGCAGCAGCAGCAGCAGCAGCGACUCGUCCCCGACGGCGAUGUCGAGCUCGACCCCGAC